GACGAACGCUGGCGGCGUGCUUAACACAUGCAAGUCGAACGGAAAGGCCUGCUUUCCCUUGUGGAUUGCGGGUACUCGAGUGGCGAACGGGUGAGUAACACGUGAGUGAUCUGCCCCCAACUUGGGUAUAAGCCUGGGAAACUGGGUCUAAUUCCCGAUAGGACUGCAGGGUGGUGCCUGUGGUGGAAAACGAUUUUCUAGUGGUUGGGGAUGAGCUCGCGGCCUAUCAGCUUGUUGGUGGGGUAAUGGCCUACCAAGGCGGCGACGGGUAGCCGGCCUGGGGGGGGGGCCGGGCAAAUGGGGACUGGGAAAGGGCCCAAACCCCGACGGGAGGCGGCAGUGGGGAAUAUUGCCCAAUGGGGGGAACCCUGAUGCGGCGACGCCGGGUGGGGGAGGCCGGCCUUGGGGUUGUAAACCCCUUUCGACCGCGAGGAAGCCACCUGGUUGGAAGGUUGGUGAGGGAAGGUGUAAAAGAAGCACCGGCAAACUACUU
RNAcentral lists this ribosomal RNA (493 nucleotides) under uncultured bacterium. RNAcentral describes it as "partial 16S ribosomal RNA". It matches the Rfam family "Bacterial small subunit ribosomal RNA", at positions 28 to 506 of the family's 1533-position model. The record is from RNAcentral.